Alexandromys fortis (reed vole) is the source of this 1759-nucleotide long non-coding RNA. RefSeq lists it as uncharacterized. The transcript has 3 exons. Lineage: Eukaryota; Metazoa; Chordata; Mammalia; Rodentia; Cricetidae. The record is from RefSeq and is a predicted model, not a curated record.
GGAUUUUCCCUCUGCCAUUCUUCUAGAGCAAGCCUGGGUCCUUAGGAGUGGGGCGUUUUUAACCACUUCCACCAUCCCUCAGAGCUGCUUUUCAUUUCUCAUCCCUGGCUCAUUAGACGGCGCAAGCAGGAGGUGAAGACUAAGGCAGAGGGGCUUUGGAUGCAGGCCCCGAUGAGCUCAAGUAUUCAGAAGACUGAGGCAGGAGGAUCCCACGUUUGAGGCUAGCUUGGACUACAUAGCAAGACUCCAUCUACAAAAACAACAACAAAAUAAAUAAACAGAAACAUUGGCCGGGCACGCAGGCAAAUCUUAACAAUUCAGUAGCAAGACCAGAUGUGUGCAGUGCACAAGGAGGCCAAAAGAAGGUGUUGGAUGCCCUGGAACCGGAGUCAUAGAUGAUUGUUGGCCACUAUUAGGGUGCCGAGAAUUGAACCCAGUUCUCUGGAAGAGUAGCUAAUGCUCUUAGCCACUGAGUUGUCUCUCCAGCCCCACUCCAUAAAGAUUUUUAUGACUGUCCUUUGCGUCUCUAACUUGGAUCCUUCUUGCUGUUGCAUUACUUUAAUCCCUCUUCAGGCAAAUUGGGAGAGCAAGUAGGUUAAAGUUUAUCCCAGGCCCUAGUUCUCUGCCAGUAGUUAGCUGAUUUUAUCUGCAUGUUUUAUCUGCUGACUUUAUCUGCAUGUUGUGUUGACUAUCCAACAAGUGUGUCUCUGUGAAACUCUUGGCUUCUGCUGCCUUCUACAUCCUGUCUAAGGCAUGUGACUCCAGGCAGAAGAUCACGUGUCUUUCAGAGCUCUGAGCCACCUCCCACUUGGGAGGCGGGGGAGUAACUCAGUAUGACAAAGGUUAUGUCUAAUAAAUUAGCACUUUUAAUAUAUGUACUCUAUACUGCGACAUAAUGAUGUUCUCCAUAAGACAAUUACAAGAUUUAUAAAAAGUACACAACAGACGGUGAGAGUCAAGAAUGGAAAAUCACUUUAAAAACAUAUUAGCGAACAGAUUCCCACUCCCAGCUCCACCCCCAAGUUCAUCAGCAUGGAUGCCUUCGUUUGGAGGUAAGCUUUAUUUAACGAUGACUUUCGAAUCAUUUUUGAUGUGUCAGACUGCUCUAAGCACUUUAUAUGUAAUCACUCUUUAGUCUUUAUCUAAUUUUAGGGCAUUUUCAUCACCCACGAAAGAAAUCCUGGAGCUGGUAAAAAUGGCUCAGCAGGUAAAGGCACUUGCUGUUGAGACUGACAACCUGAGUUCAAUCCCUAUGAUCCAGAUGGCAGAAGAGGAGAACCAAUUCGCAAAGAGGACCCAGGUCUGGUUCCCAGAACCCAUAUGACAGCUCACAACCAUCUGUAACUCCAGUUGCAAGGGAUCUGAUGACCUCUUCUGGCUUUUGAGAACACCAGACUCUGGGCCUUGCCUUCCCAUGGAUGCAGCCCGUGCUGGAUGAGGCUCUCUAGGGGAGCCCUGCAGCAGCCCCACCUGACAUCAUUCUCAUUCAGGCAUUCCGGAAUCAUCAGUUACAUGUGUACCCUCACAAGAUGCACAGCCAUGCUGAACAAGACAGACUCAGUCCUCGUUCUCACCAAGAUACCAUGAAGUUUAUGAAGAACAUGUGUGCCAGGCAACCGUCCCUGCUGAUCAGGGACAGCUUCUCGGAGACGACGUUUAAGCAGCAACCCAAAGAGAUAGGAGGAGGAUAAAACAAAGGGAGGUGGGUGGGGAGUUGCAGCUGUGUACAGGUUUUUGUUUGUUUGGUUUGGUUUUUUGA